AAGGAUCAUUAAUGAGUCGUUGAAACGGGGUUGUUGCUGGCCCCGCUUGGGGUAGCGUGCACGCCUCGCUCUCGUUCCCAUCCCUUUAACACUUGUGCACAACCUGUAGUUCCGCGAGCCGAUGGGGCACCCGGUUCUAUGUAUUUUCUCUACACCAUGGUUUGAUUGAAUGUACAAAGGCGUCUAUGACGCUAAACGAAUAUAUAUAACUUUCAGCAACGGAUCUCUUGGCUCUC
This 236-nucleotide unclassified non-coding RNA is filed under the name uncultured fungus. RNAcentral describes it as "partial contains 18S rRNA, ITS1, 5.8S rRNA, ITS2 and 28S rRNA". The record is from RNAcentral. Lineage: Eukaryota; Fungi.